RNAcentral lists this ribosomal RNA (203 nucleotides) under Neobacillus paridis. Its description in RNAcentral is "partial 16S ribosomal RNA". It matches the Rfam family "Bacterial small subunit ribosomal RNA", at positions 1 to 200 of the family's 1533-position model. Lineage: Bacteria; Bacillati; Bacillota; Bacilli; Caryophanales; Bacillaceae. The record is from RNAcentral.
UUAUUGGAGAGUUUGAUCCUGGCUCAGGACGAACGCUGGCGGCGUGCCUAAUACAUGCAAGUCGAGCGAACCUUUAGGAGCUUGCUCCUAAAGGUUAGCGGCGGACGGGUGAGUAACACGUGGGCAACCUGCCUGUAAGACUGGGAUAACUUCGGGAAACCGGAGCUAAUACCGGAUGACUCUUAUUUACACAUGUAGAUAAG